Electrophorus electricus (electric eel) is the source of this 407-nucleotide long non-coding RNA. RefSeq lists it as uncharacterized. Lineage: Eukaryota; Metazoa; Chordata; Actinopteri; Gymnotiformes; Gymnotidae. The record is from RefSeq and is a predicted model, not a curated record.
ACGAGAUGCAGCUGUGUCUGUUUGCUGUGUUGCUAUUUGCCGUGCAGGGAGAGAACAGUGUACCAGCGGGCCUCAACUCUCCAAUAUCAUGUUGUAUGAGGACAACAGACCAAAUCAUUCGCAUCUCUGAGAUUGUUCGAUAUGAACUUCAGGAAGCACCACCGUGUCCCGUCAGAGCAGUAAGGUUCUUCACCCGGAGUAACGACACAGUGUGCUCGGAUCCAAGGAGCCUGUGGGCCAGAAAGGCAAUGAUGAUGGUGGGCAGAAGAAUCAGCACCACUGGGGUACCAGAGGUCAUAAAGAAGAGAACCACCUCUCUACCUGGGGCCACCACCCUGCCUUGGUCUACAGUGACAUGGGUCUCUCCAGGCUUAACGACUACGAACUGGAUGGAGGAAUUUAUGACA